Molecule: transfer RNA, 89 nt
Filed under: Bacteroidota bacterium
Lineage: Bacteria; Pseudomonadati; Bacteroidota
Description: Bacteroidetes bacterium (groundwater metagenome) tRNA-Leu
Rfam family: tRNA
About the family: Transfer RNA (tRNA) molecules are approximately 80 nucleotides in length. Their secondary structure includes four short double-helical elements and three loops (D, anti-codon, and T loops). Further hydrogen bonds mediate the characteristic L-shaped molecular structure. tRNAs have two regions of fundamental functional importance: the anti-codon, which is responsible for specific mRNA codon recognition, and the 3' end, to which the tRNAs corresponding amino acid is attached (by aminoacyl-tRNA synthetases). tRNAs cope with the degeneracy of the genetic code in two manners: having more than one tRNA (with a specific anti-codon) for a particular amino acid; and 'wobble' base-pairing, i.e. permitting non-standard base-pairing at the 3rd anti-codon position.
Source: RNAcentral
GCCGGGGUGGCGGAAUUGGUAGACGCACAGGACUUAAAAUCCUGUGUCCUGCAAAGGGCGUGCGGGUUCGAGUCCCGCCCUCGGCACGA